This 458-nucleotide ribosomal RNA is filed under the name uncultured bacterium. Its description in RNAcentral is "partial 16S ribosomal RNA". It matches the Rfam family "Bacterial small subunit ribosomal RNA", at positions 338 to 795 of the family's 1533-position model. The record is from RNAcentral.
CCUACGGGUGGCAGCAGUGAGGAAUAUUGGUCAAUGGGCGAGAGCCUGAACCAGCCAAGUCGCGUGAGGGAGUACUGCCCUAUGGGUUGUAAACCUCUUUUGUCGGGGAGCAAAAGCCGGACGUGUCCGGCUGUGAGAGUACCCGAAGAAAAAGCAUCGGCUAACUCCGUGCCAGCAGCCGCGGUAAUACGGAGGAUGCGAGCGUUAUCCGGAUUUAUUGGGUUUAAAGGGUGCGCAGGCGGAUUUUUAAGUUAGCGGUAAAAUCGUGGGGCUCAACCCCAUCCAGCCGUUGAAACUGGGGAUCUAGAGUGUGCGAGAGGUAUGCGGAAUGCGUGGUGUAGCGGUGAAAUGCAUAGAUAUCACGCAGAACCCCGAUUGCGAAGGCAGCAUACCGGUGCACAACUGACGCUCAGGCACGAAAGCGUGGGUAUCGAACAGGAUUAGAUACCCUUGUAGUC